GAGUUUGAUCAUGGCUCAGAUUGAACGCUGGCGGCAGGCCUAACACAUGCAAGUCGAGCGGAUGACGGGAGCUUGCUCCUUGAUUCAGCGGCGGACGGGUGAGUAAUGCCUAGGAAUCUGCCUGGUAGUGGGGGGACAACGUUUCGAAAGGAACGCUAAUACCGCAUACGUCCUACGGGAGAAAGCAGGGGACCUUCGGGCCUUGCGCUAUCAGAUGAGCCUAGGUCGGAUUAGCUAGUUGGUGGGGUAAUGGCUCACCAAGGCGACGAUCCGUAACUGGUCUGAGAGGAUGAUCAGUCACACUGGAACUGAGACACGGUCCAGACUCCUACGGGAGGCAGCAGUGGGGAAUAUUGGACAAUGGGCGAAAGCCUGAUCCAGCCAUGCCGCGUGUGUGAAGAAGGUCUUCGGAUUGUAAAGCACUUUAAGUUGGGAGGAAGGGCAGUAAGUUAAUACCUUGCUGUUUUGACGUUUACCGACAGAAUAAGCACCGGCUAACUCUGUGCCAGCA
RNAcentral lists this ribosomal RNA (511 nucleotides) under bacterium enrichment culture clone ALO1_GLFRUDD03GY34C. Its description in RNAcentral is "bacterial SSU rRNA". It matches the Rfam family "Bacterial small subunit ribosomal RNA", at positions 9 to 513 of the family's 1533-position model. The record is from RNAcentral.